Lineus longissimus is the source of this 4198-nucleotide long non-coding RNA. RefSeq lists it as uncharacterized. NCBI's taxonomy places the organism in Eukaryota, Metazoa, Nemertea, Pilidiophora, Heteronemertea, Lineidae. The transcript is spliced from 3 exons. The record is from RefSeq and is a predicted model, not a curated record.
ACUUCUUUUCUUAAAAUUCAUACAUGUAUGAUGUAUGAAGUUCAACUUCAUACACAAGCUCAGCUCCUGCAUCAUUCAGUCCAUAAAGCUUUUUACUUCUCGUGCUACAUGUAUGUAAAGGCAAAAAAGGUUUGACUGUCAUUGUCUGCACUUAGACAGCCGCAGAAACGUUUCUUAUGUCUUUAUGAUGAAUAUGAUUGUCGAAAUGUUUUCAAAGGAUUCAAAUUGUUAUUUGUUGCAGCGUGUGUGAUAAACAUGUGUAAAGAAACCUUUCGUAAGAAGCCAGAAGAGCUUUACAACAAUCUUGGACUGGGAGAUGGAGGCCAUCAUAAACUUCUUGUAGGAUGAGUUGGCGCAGACAGAGAUGAAAACCAUGAUGAAUGUCUGUGAGCAAGAGGCUAUGAUUUGUUUAGUAAAACAAUGCGAGGGACUUAACAAAAUUGAUGCGAAAAUGUUCUUGAGGCAGUGUCGGUGCAUGGAAGAAACGGAAACAUUGGAUUAAGGAUUUAGGAUUAAUUAAGGAUUUAUUUCAUAGUGAAUUACACAAUCACAAAUGGAUUACACACGUUCUGGAUUAGACUAGUUCCUGCUGCAACUGACAUUUUUGCAGGUGCCCACUCGUAGGCGAUUUCUUGAUGUCUUCCUUGGAUUUUACAUGAUAUUAUGUCAUUUUUCGCCAACAUCGGGUUUUGGCGCCAAGACGUUUGUUCCUAGAACGGUUGAUUUAAAUGCCGAAUGUGGUCAGUUUUAAUUUAUGUCGCUGGUGUCUACCCGAACAAUUUUAGAUGCUUUCUGCUGAAUCUUCUACUACUACUGUUUUUACUGGGUUUCAUCGAUGUUUUUUGGUGGAGUGUGACUCUAAAGUAGUAGGCAGCUUGUUAUGCCCCCGCCAAUGCGUAAAGCAUUGCAGAGGCAUUAUGUUUUACCGAUGUCCGUCAGCCGGUAGGCGUCAGGCGUCUGUAAACUUUUCGUUUCCGCUCAUUUUAACGAGAACGCUUUGAGUAAUAACCAUGUAACUUUUUAUGUGGGUAGAAAAAGAUAACGUGUACAGCGGGCAUUACAGACCAAUAUCUCUCUUUCACGAUGUCAACUAAACCCAGUCAGCUAUGACACCAGCUGCCCGGGGUUGUCUGAAAAACACUUCACUUUCCUAAUACACCAACUCAAUGUGCUCACCGGGGCAUAUGCUACGCUCUGCAUUGCUCUUGUUAUUGCAGUAUUUUUGUUUUUCCUCUGGUUCACCUAUAAACUAUUUUUCCAAUCUCCAAUCAUGUUUGAUGCUUUAGCCAUUUUGUUUCAGCUCUUAGAUAGUAGAAAAACGUGUUAUUCAUUAUUUCUAGUAGCACAAGUCCUGGCACGAAAUACCUUUCCCGCCAAAAUAUCAGUACCAAGACGUCACAGGGUAGGUCCUAACUGCAGGAAACGCCUUACUAGUGCAUUGUUCCAUGUGAAAAGGGUCACUGCUUGGAGAGCUAAAUGGGGUCAACAUCAGAAAAGUGCGAUAAUUCAGUAUUUGGAAUUUUUGGCUCACUGUUAGGGGAGUCUAUACGAUAGGCCUGUGUCCGUCGUCGUCGUUCUUCGUCUGUGUGGCACGUUUCUUAACCACGUGUACUAUGAACUUGAAACUUUGUACACAUGACCUCCUAGGUCAGAGGUACUCUGACACUGAAUUUCGGUCCGGUCUAGUUCAUGACUUGGCCACCAGGGGGCAUAAACAUAAAAAGUGUGAUAUGUCUCCUAUUAAUGAUCCGUUUUCAAUAAAACUUUUAUGUAGGUACUCCUAGCAAGGAUACAUCACAUAUCAUACGGGUUUUUGAUUUGACCUACUUUUCAAGGUCACAGAGGUCUAAUGGCGUAAGGAUGUAACUAUGGCACGUUUCUAAACUGCAAUGACUAUUGAUCCCAAAUUUGGUACACAUGUACCCCUUAGUCAGGUGAUCUCAGGGACCGAAGUUCGGUCCAAUAUGAUUCACCACUUGACCACCAGGGGGACAAAAUCCAAAAACCUUAAAAAUGUGAUUAUUCCUUCUUGCCCGAUUGCCACCAAUUUGAUAUCAUGGGUACAUCUUACCACCAUACAGUAUAUGUCACACAGGUUUUUAUUUUGACCUACUUUUCAAGGUCACAGAGGUCAAAUGGCGUAAAUUGGUCGUCAGGCUGUAACUAUGGCACGUUUCUCAACCGCAAUGACUAUUGAUCACAAAUUAAGUACAUAUGUACCCAUUGGUCAGGUGAUCUCAGGUACCGAAGUUUGGUUCGAUCUGAUUUGUCGUUUGGCCUCCAGGGAGGGGGCCAAAUCCAAAAUUCUUAAAAAUGCUAUUAUUCCUUAAUUACUUGCCCGAUUGGCGCCAAUUUUAUAUCAUAGGUACAUCUAAUUCUAACAACAAUUCAAUGUGUCACCCGGGUUUUUUUUUAUUUGACCUACUUUUCAAGGUCACAGAGGUCAAAUGUACUGUAAAUUGGCCAUUUUGGGGAAAUUGUAAUUGGUUGGACCUACAUCAAACCUAACACUACAUUACAUAAUACCAUGCUCUUCAUCCAUCUUUCCUCCGCAUGAGGUGAGCACAAUGGCCCUGGCCAUUUCAUUCCUUUUUUUGUGCAAUUUGUUGAUGAAAACUACUUAUGUAGAACAUGAGAUGACUGGGCAGCGGACAGCUGGGUAAUAUUGCCCUUAAUUAUGCCUAAGGUCCUUUAAUAAUUUUGGUACCAACCCAGGUGCUUGAAGUGGUUGGAAUACCAUAACCUAUGCAGACACGUGAGGGCCAUUUACACGGAACCAGUGAUCUUGACCGAUCCAGAUUAUUCUAGAUUGGUUUACUGCGUUUAACCUCUUGACUCCCAAAACUUGAAAAUCACGGGAUCCCAGGGUAGUCAUGUGGUUGCUAAAUUGGGUCAGACUUUUACGAUGUAUAGCGCCCGCAUACAACCGCCAAAGUCCGGUAACGAGGCACCAUCUACCCAGGCUUGCUCUAACUGACCCUACUGUACAUCAAACACGCUAAAACCAGCAAUAAAAUAGCGUCCCAGCUCAAGGGAAUAAAAAUAUCACUGAGACCGAGCUGUCGGUCGUUGGGAAAAAACAUUAUUUCAAAAUGACUGACUGGUCGGUCACCGGGAUUCAAGAGGUUGACUGCGCACCAUUGGUCAUUCGCAAGAAACACAAUGUUUAAGUUUUGAAUAUAAAGUUAAAAUAAAAGAUUGAGGUGUGUCGCGUAAUCAAGCCAUGUGCGUAUUUAUUUACGCGACACUCGUUAAUCAUCUUCUGUAAUAAUUUGUUUGAGUAAUCUGGGAAAGUUUUGAAAAAUGGCGUCCAUAAGUACAUUUACAUUCUUCGCUCAUGCCUCAUCUCAACUAGAGACCUUUGACGAGAGAUAAUGGCUUUUUCUGGCAUUUAUCUGAAAAACUUGACUUUCCUGAGAAACGUGACAGUGCCCAAGUUGUGGGGUAAUUACACAUUUCUUCAAGUCCCUAGAUAACAUUCAUUGAGUUAAGUUGAAAUCAGCAUGACAGUGAACUGAAUGGCGGCAAGAAUUUCCAGCAAGUACUUGUACCGGUAAUAUUUUUGUCUGACAACAACCGUUUUUGGGCCUUUUGAGCUUAUUUGACCUUAUUAUAUAUGACAGUAGUAGACAGAUCAAGUUGUUUGAAAUGACUGACAUAAUUUUAAAAGCCCUUGUCCUGCAAUUGCCACCGUGAUAAUGUAUCUCAAGUGCCGCAGCCACAGAUGUACAAAUGAUAAUCAUGUUUGGCAAAAUUAAAUGUGUGGUGAAUAUUGAAAGUUCAAGUGUGAACACAUUAUGUAAAAGUGUGGAAUUACACAGCGAGAACUGUAUAAUCCCAGUGAAUGAUUUUUAUACAUAUUGAAGUCAUAAAGACUGUGAGUGUGAAUUUCAUCCUGAUACUCAAAGGCAGAAAGGGAAUUGAAGAUAGUGACAAAAAUGGUAUUUUUUCCUAAUGUUAAGUCGGGAUCGUGGGAUUAUUGAUUUCUGCCCGUUUCUAGUAUUCUGAGGAUGUAUUUGGUCAUUUGUUUUGAUGCAUGAAUGAAGUAACCCGGAUCGCAAUUAUUUAAAAAUUUGUGUAGAAACUUCAUUUGUAGUAGAGUGUGUAUAUCUGUUACUUCUAAUGCUUUUAAUGUCUUGGAUAAGGGUUUGGUGUGGGCAAUGAGCAGAGCAGAUAAUAAUAAUGAAAUGACCUGAAA